RNAcentral lists this ribosomal RNA (421 nucleotides) under uncultured bacterium. Its description in RNAcentral is "bacterial SSU rRNA". It matches the Rfam family "Bacterial small subunit ribosomal RNA", at positions 356 to 773 of the family's 1533-position model. The record is from RNAcentral.
AAGGAAUAUUGGACAAUGGAGGAAACUCUGAUCCAGCCAUGCCGCGUGAAGGAUGAAGGCGCUCUGCGUUGUAAACUUCUUUUGAGUGGGAACAAAAAACGGGACUUGUCCUGGACUGAGGGUACCACUAGAAUAAGCACCGGCUAACUCCGUGCCAGCAGCCGCGGUAAUACGGAGGGUGCAAGCGUUAUCCGGAAUCACUGGGUUUAAAGGGUGCGUAGGCGGUGUUGUAAGUCAGUCGUGAAAUUCCCCGGCUCAACCGGCGGGACUGCGAUUGAUACUGCGGCACUUGAAUCAGGUUUAGGCAGGCGGAAUGUGACAUGUAGCGGUGAAAUGCUUAGAUAUGUCAUAGAACACCGAUUGCGAAGGCAGCUUGCUGGGCCUUGAUUGACGCUGAGGCACGAAAGCGUGGGGAGCAAAC